RNAcentral lists this ribosomal RNA (177 nucleotides) under uncultured bacterium. RNAcentral describes it as "partial 16S ribosomal RNA". It matches the Rfam family "Bacterial small subunit ribosomal RNA", at positions 1324 to 1500 of the family's 1533-position model. The record is from RNAcentral.
AGCUGGAAUCGCUAGUAAUCGCGAAUCAGAAUGUCGCGGUGAAUACGUUCCCGGGUCUUGUACACACCGCCCGUCACACCAUGGGAGUCAGCAACGCCCGAAGUCAGUGACCCAACCGAAAGGAGGGAGCUGCCGAAGGCGGGGCAGGUAACUGGGGUGAAGUCGUAACAAGGUACC